Molecule: long non-coding RNA, 563 nt
Filed under: Sinocyclocheilus grahami
Lineage: Eukaryota; Metazoa; Chordata; Actinopteri; Cypriniformes; Cyprinidae
Description: lncRNA (ENSSGRG00000032198.1)
Source: RNAcentral
CUUUUAGAAUAUGGAAAAUAAGGUCGAUUUCAUUUUAUCAUUUGCAUGAACACUGGGGUGUGUGUGUGUGUGUGUGUGUGUGUGUGUGUGAAUGAAUGUCUCUUGUGCAACAGGUGUCAGGGUGUCCUGUUCAGACCUGUAUAUAUGACAUGUACCACAUGCCUUUCCCACAUAGUCUACAUGACAGACCUGCAGUGACAGCAUGGGAACUCCCUCAACACACACACACACACACACACACACACAGACAUGCAGGAGAGCUCUGCAGGUUAUGGACAAAGGCAGGUGGCUGCUGGAAUUGUGUGUAGUUCCUCUUUCAUUCGCAUGAGAGGAACUCAAUCCUUCGCACAUUUCAGUCUUGGCAGCUGUGCUGAGGUGUGUGUAUGUGUACAUGCGUGGAUCUGGAUCUACGGUAACUCUUGGAAUGUGAUCAGCGUGCGUGCAGUGAGGAGACGUCGGAAUGCACUUGUUUGUUGAACCUUCAUCCCAGUGAGCUGUCUGUUUGCAGCCUUACUGACAGACAGACACAACAUACUGUUGCAAACCAACCCCCUCAGUAUCCU